AGUGAUCUUAGCAGAGUUUCUCAACAGGUGGACCUAAAAAUGAACAUAAGUAAGACGAAAAUCAUGUCUAUUGCUUAUGU
Molecule: long non-coding RNA, 80 nt
Organism: Maniola jurtina (meadow brown)
Lineage: Eukaryota; Metazoa; Arthropoda; Insecta; Lepidoptera; Nymphalidae
Exons: 3
Source: RefSeq, a predicted model, not a curated record